RNAcentral lists this ribosomal RNA (859 nucleotides) under Moelleriella epiphylla. RNAcentral's name for it is "eukaryotic LSU rRNA". It matches the Rfam family "Eukaryotic large subunit ribosomal RNA", at positions 72 to 945 of the family's 3401-position model. Lineage: Eukaryota; Fungi; Ascomycota; Sordariomycetes; Hypocreales; Clavicipitaceae. The record is from RNAcentral.
GGAUUGCCCCAGUAACGGCGAGUGAAGCGGCAACAGCUCAAAUUUGAAAUCUGGCGCCCCCCCGCGGGCGCCCGAGUUGUAAUUUGCAGAGGAUGCUUUUGGCGAGGCGCCUUCCGAGUUCCCUGGAACGGGACGCCACAGAGGGUGAGAGCCCCGUCCGGUCGGCCGCCGAGCCUCUGUAAAGCUCCUUCGACGAGUCGAGUAGUUUGGGAAUGCUGCUCUAAUUGGGAGGUAUAUGUCUUCUAAAGCUAAAUACCGGCCAGAGACCGAUAGCGCACAAGUAGAGUGAUCGAAAGAUGAAAAGCACCUUGAAAAGAGGGUUAAACAGUACGUGAAAUUGUUGAAAGGGAAGCGCUCAUGACCAGACUUGGGCCCUGCGGAUCAGCCGGCGGCCCCCCGCCGGCGCACUCCGCAGGGCGCAGGCCAGCAUCAGUUCGCGCCGGGGGACAAAGGCGGCGGGAACGUGGCUCCCCCAGGGGAGUGUUAUAGCCCGCCGCGCAAUGCCCCGGGGGCGGACUGAGGCCCGCGCGUUCCGACGCAUGGAUGCUGGCGUAAUGGUCAUCAGUGACCCGUCUUGAAACACGGACCAAGGAGUCGUCCUCGUAUGCGAGUGUUCGGGUGUCAAACCCCUACGCGUAAUGAAAGUGAACGCAGGUGAGAGCUUCGGCGCAUCACCGACCGAUCCUGAUGUUCUCGGAUGGAUUUGAGUAGGAGCAUACGGGGCCGGACCCGAAAGAAGGUGAACUAUGCCUGUAUAGGGUGAAGCCAGAGGAAACUCUGGUGGAGGCUCGCAGCGGUUCUGACGUGCAAAUCGAUCGUCAAAUAUGGGCAUGGGGGCGAAAGACUAAUCGAACCUUCU